Molecule: unclassified non-coding RNA, 330 nt
Filed under: uncultured fungus
Lineage: Eukaryota; Fungi
Description: partial contains small subunit ribosomal RNA, internal transcribed spacer 1, and 5.8S ribosomal RNA
Rfam family: Eukaryotic small subunit ribosomal RNA (bases 1-73)
Source: RNAcentral
UCAAACUUGGUCAUUUAGAGGAAGUAAAAGUCGUAACAAGGUUUCCGUAGGUGAACCUGCGGAAGGAUCAUUAACGAGUAAACUGAACAGGUUGUAGCUGGCUUCGCAAGGAGCAUGUGCACGCCUGGCUCAUCCACUCUUCAACCUCUGUGCACUUAUUGUAGGUUGGCGGGAAAGGCAAGUUCUGUUAUAUAGGAUUUGCUUUUGAAAGCCUUCCUAUGUUUUAUUACAAACGCGCUUCAGUUUAAGAAUGUAUUUCUGCGUAUAACGCAUCUAUAUACAACUUUCAGCAACGGAUCUCUUGGCUCUCGCAUCGAUGAAGAACGCAGC